UGGGAACGUGCCCAAAGGUACGGAACAACUCCGGGAAACUGGAGCUAAUACCGUAUGUGCCCGAAAGGGGAAAGAUUCAUCGCCUUUGGAUCGGCCCGCGUCUGAUUAGCUAGUUGGCGGGGUAAUGGCCCACCAAGGCGACGAUCAGUAGCUGGUCUGAGAGGAUGACCAGCCACACUGGGACUGAGACACGGCCCAGACUCCGUACGGGAGGCAG
Molecule: ribosomal RNA, 217 nt
Filed under: uncultured bacterium
Lineage: Bacteria
Description: partial 16S ribosomal RNA
Rfam family: Bacterial small subunit ribosomal RNA
Source: RNAcentral